This 451-nucleotide ribosomal RNA is filed under the name uncultured bacterium. RNAcentral describes it as "partial 16S ribosomal RNA". It matches the Rfam family "Bacterial small subunit ribosomal RNA", at positions 29 to 508 of the family's 1533-position model. The record is from RNAcentral.
AGCGAACGCUGGCGGCAGGCUUAACACAUGCAAGUCGAACGCCCCGCAAGGGGAGUGGCAGACGGGUGAGUAACACGUGGGAACGUACCCUUUGGUUCGGAAUAACUUGGGGAAACUCAAGCUAAUACCGGAUAAGCCCUUAUGGGGAAAGGUUUACUGCCGAGGGAUCGGCCCGCGUCUAAUUAGCUAGUUGGUGAGGUAAUGGCUCACCAAGGCGACGAUCAGUAGCUGGUCUGAGAGGAUGAUCAGCCACACUGGGACUGAGACACGGCCCAGACUCCUACGGGAGGCAGCAGUGGGGAAUAUUGGACAAUGGGUGCGAGCCUGAUCCAGCCAUGCCGCGUGCAGGAAGACGGCCUUCUGGGUUGUAAACUGCUUUUGCCAGGGGAUAAAACGGCUCUGCGGAGCUAAUUGAAGGUACCUGGUGAAUAAGCCACGGCUAACUACGUGC